ACAGGUAUCAGUACAUGCCUGUAGUCCUGGCUACUCGGGAGGUUUAGGCAGGAUAAUUGCUUGAGCCUAGGAGUUCUGGGUUAGCUUUAGUUUGUUAAGCAAGCGCACAUCCACACUAAAUUUGGCAAUGAUACAGUGACCUCCCAGGAGAAGGCAACCACCGGGUUGCCUAAGGUGGGGCAAAUCAGCCCAGGCAGAAAUGGAGCAGCUCAAAACUCUCAUGCUGAUCAGUAGUGGGGAUGGCAACUGUGAAUAGCUGCUACACUCCAGCCUGGGCAACAUCGCAAGAAACCAUCCCUGC
RNAcentral lists this signal recognition particle RNA (301 nucleotides) under Microcebus murinus (gray mouse lemur). Its description in RNAcentral is "Metazoan signal recognition particle RNA (ENSMICG00000027790.2)". It matches the Rfam family "Metazoan signal recognition particle RNA". From Rfam's summary of the family: The signal recognition particle (SRP) is a universally conserved ribonucleoprotein. It is involved in the co-translational targeting of proteins to membranes. Lineage: Eukaryota; Metazoa; Chordata; Mammalia; Primates; Cheirogaleidae. The record is from RNAcentral.